UUGUCAUUGUUUAAGAUACAUUCACGUUCAAUCACACAAAAGUUUGUUAUUUGAAAACGGCCCGAGGGCCAACGGUUCACAGAGGUGUAAGGAUUAUGAAUCAGGCCAGAGGCCAAUCACUAAUGAUCCUUCCGCAGGUUCACCUACGGAAA
This 152-nucleotide unclassified non-coding RNA is filed under the name uncultured fungus. Its description in RNAcentral is "sequence contains ITS1". The record is from RNAcentral. Lineage: Eukaryota; Fungi.